CAAUUUUAUAUCUCUUCUGCUUUGCUGUGCACAGGAAGCAGCAAUUGGGACUUUCAUGUGUGAUGCUUCAGCUGGAGAGACAAAGGCAAGGCGCACUCGGGUCCCUUCCUCAUCUCUGCUCCUUGAAAAAGGCUUCACUUGACUUCCAGACAGACCCAAGAUGGUCCAGAUGCUCUUCAAGUCACAAUCCAGACCUCUGCUGUUGUCCAAACUCCCUCGGGAUUUACUGGCAAAAGCCAAAAACGCAACCAAACCUCCUUCUGCUGCCAAGAAAAUUCUGUGCUAUUUCCAAAGUUAAUCAACACAAACAGUCUUUUCAUCUUAGCGAUAUUAAGCCAUAAAGGCUGAAUAACGUGUUGGCCAUCAACUGUUGACCCUGCACUCAAAUUUGCUGAAACUGGUGAAUGUUGGCAGGAUAUUUUACCCUUGGAUGAAGUCCCUGCAGCCUCUCCUCCACACAUAUGUUCAACCAUUUGUUUUAGUGAUGACUUGAAAGAGCAGCUCCUCAUUAGCUGCUCCUGUGCAGACUCCAGCACUCACCCACUGCCUUCAGCAGCAUCACCUGCACCACAGGAAGUUAAAUAUAGACAAAGAUUUUCACAAACCAAUCUUCAACUGCCCAGCAGUGCAGGAUGGCAGCAUCACCUCUCAAUGAUUCUUAAGUAAAUAGACCUGAAUGCCACUUUGGACCUCAGAACAUCAGCGUGUCAUGGCAGGAGAAAGCAGAGACAUGUGGCUCCAUGCAAUAAUAAUAUUUAAAAUAUUUGCCUCUAAAACCUGGCAAACUAUCAAAAAUUUUACAAUAUUAAUUAAAAAGCUUUUUAUUAAAAAACAAAAUUAUGUGCACAGUUCAUAAUUAAAUGUCUUCUUUCAUUUGACUUGGUUUCAUUCAAACACAGACAUUUUACUGGCUUAAGUUUUAUACAUUUCUUUUACUUUAAAAAUCCCACAAGGUAAAAACCUUGACAGACACACACAAAUACAGGAAAUGGUAUUGCUCAAGGGCUUUUUGUUCCCCCCCUACCCCUCAUAUUAAGAAGUGCAAUUUUGCUUCUAUGGCCCUUUAAAGUGAAACAGUUUUCUCCCUCAGUAAAACAACACUCUCCAGGAAGAAUUGCACCACAUAUACAAAAUCCAUGAAGGUCUCAGCUCUACCCAGCUUCACCUAUGCACUGAUUAAGGUCUGAGGGAUCUAUAUGAAAAUUGUGCUUACAGUAACUCAUCCCUACCAGUACACACAGGUCAGUAAAUGCAGCCCCACUCUGUGAAACUGCUGGGGAAGGGAAGUCAAUACCAUCUACAAUUACAGCAGUGGAAUGUUUGUAUUUACCAGAAUUUUCC
This 1341-nucleotide long non-coding RNA is filed under the name Chloebia gouldiae (Gouldian finch). RNAcentral describes it as "Erythrura gouldiae (Gouldian finch) lncRNA (ENSEGOG00005005562.1)". Lineage: Eukaryota; Metazoa; Chordata; Aves; Passeriformes; Passeridae. The record is from RNAcentral.